Non-coding RNA from Maylandia zebra (zebra mbuna), 913 nucleotides. The record is from RefSeq and is a predicted model, not a curated record. Lineage: Eukaryota; Metazoa; Chordata; Actinopteri; Cichliformes; Cichlidae.
CAAGCAUGACCCUCCAUUCACUGCGCAGUUGUGCCCUCCAUUCUACUCACAGAAAUCCUCGGAAGUUUUGCGCUCCUCCCCAUUGGAUACUCGCAACUGCACCGGAGCCGAAGGAUUGAUGAGAAGUACCGGCACACCCGUGGAUUGUAUAAUUUGGAGAUCAACGAUGGCCAGCCACACUCUCUAGACUUGCAGAACGAUUCGAGCUUCAUAGUCCCGACUCGCUACAACGUGGUGUACAUAACCUUAAAAACUAAGCGUCGAAAACCAGCACAUAUAAGAGGUACAAUCCGACCCAAAGUGAGGAGAAAAGUGAGAAAAAAUAAGUCUUCCAAUCUGUCUUUUACCCAGGACAAACGUCGCACUUUGGAGGGGGAUGCGUUACAAAUUAAGCGCAACUUUGCACCCAUAACUUCACGGAAGGAAGCCAUGGAUGUUGACUAUAAAUCACUGGAUAUAAGCCAUAAAAUUUAUAAACAUGAAGAAGCAGACUCUCAGAUUAGUUCAAUUCGAAUAUACAGUCAAAGGCCGCCACCAUGGUUCAGCGCACAGGAUGUGAAAACCAUGCGCUUUCUUGCGGAUGCCAAAGUUUUGCGCAUGAAAGAAGUCUCUCAUGGAUACGCUCUUUCGCUUCUGAUAUUUGAGGGUGAGACAAACGUUCAACAGGCGAACCAACAGCACGCAAAAACGAGCACUGUAUGCGGAGGGCAAUGUGGAGUCAUCCACAGCCCGGUGGAUACCACAGAGGUUUUUGCUUUUCAUUUGGACAGAGUGCUGGGGCUUAAUAGGACGUUGCCAGCUGUAAGCAGAAAGUUUCGCUUUUUAUACGAUGGGCAGUCCUGUCCAGUUGUGUCAUGGGAUGCAUCUCUAUACCCAGCAGGCCUUGCUGCAGGUUUGACCAGUUUGAAGUUAA